AUGAACGCUAGCGGCAGGCUUAAUACAUGCAAGUCGAGGGACAGCACAGGUAGCAAUACUGGGUGGUAACCGGCAAACGGGUGCGGAACACGUACACAACCUUCCUUUAAGUGGGGGAUAGCCCAGAGAAAUUUGGAUUAAUACCCCGUAAUAUAGUUGAAUGGCAUCAUUUGAUUAUUAUAGCUACGGCGCUUAAUGAUGGGUGUGCGGCUGAUUAGAUAGUUGGCGGGGUAACGGCCCACCAAGUCUACGAUCAGUAGCUGAUGUGAGAGCAUGAUCAGCCACACGGGCACUGAGACACGGGCCCGACUCCUACGGGAGGCAGCAGUAAGGAAUAUUGGUCAAUGGACGCAAGUCUGAACCAGCCAUGCCGCGUGAAGGAUUAAGGUCCUCUGGAUUGUAAACUUCUUUUAUUUGGGACGAAAAAGGGCCUUUCUAGGUCAACUGACGGUACCAGAUGAAUAAGCACCGGCUAACUCCGU
This 482-nucleotide ribosomal RNA is filed under the name uncultured bacterium. RNAcentral's name for it is "bacterial SSU rRNA". It matches the Rfam family "Bacterial small subunit ribosomal RNA", at positions 29 to 506 of the family's 1533-position model. The record is from RNAcentral.